Pelobates cultripes (western spadefoot toad) is the source of this 1388-nucleotide non-coding RNA. NCBI's taxonomy places the organism in Eukaryota, Metazoa, Chordata, Amphibia, Anura, Pelobatidae. The record is from the annotation of a GenBank genome assembly.
CUUAUUUCCAUAUAUUAUUUUAUCAUUGUCCUGAAAUUUUACAAGCGUGGUCAGUCUACAUGCCAUUUGAGUCGGCAGCCAUAUUUUAAACAAUCUAUUCCUUUGUUCGUCAUUUAGGCUGUAUUUGUCCACAUUUGACUCAAACAUUCCAGCAUUAGUAAAUGCAUCCACUGACGUGUCAUAAACUGGAAUACAUUUCACAAUUUUCAUUAAUUGUUCAUGUAUUUUCAAAUUAAGUUUUGCAGCUCUGUCUUGAAAUUUAUAUUUCUGCAAAUCACUCUGUGAGGAUACAUUUUCAGUAUCUAUUGGUUCUGGGAUUAGAUUCUGUGUCUGUAUUUUUCUUGUAUUAACACACACUUGCUUAACUUCAUUUCUAAGCUGGCAAAUAAGAUCAUUUCUUAGUUCAACUCUAUCCUCUAAUUCACAAACUGUUUCUGACAAUGUGCUCUCUGUUACAUUGUUACACUGUUCAUUUAAAUCUGAUUUGUCUUCUGUUAACCCAUUCAAAUCUACUUCUUUUUCUGAUGAUUCUAAAUUUUCUUGAUCUGCAUUUCGUUUACAAAUCAAUGCAUUGUAAGUACAGACUAGUUUCAUAACAUUUCUGAUCUUUUGUUUUUUUUUCUUAUUAACAAACAAUUUCUUGUCAAUUUCACUAUUGGCAAUUUCACAUUGUGUGUAUAAAGAUUGCCACAAAACAGCAUCUGAAUAGCUGCUAUUAAAUGCAAACUGCAAUUUACUUUUCUCUGCGAUAUUCAUUUAUAAAUUCCACAAUUCAUUUGUUCCAACAAAAUCUAACUUUCCUUAUUCCAACAUGCCAAUAACCUCUUGCUUAACAACAUAUACAAGAUUACACAAAGUUCCUAACUAGGUUAUUCGUCCAGCAAAUAUACCUUGUUUCCCUCACAUUCCUCACUGAGUUUACAAGCAUUUCACCCAUUCACCCCACCCCCCUGUAGCCAAUACUCAUAGCAGUCAGAGCAAGAGAAAGCAACAAAGAAGGAGGGGGGAGGAGGGAGGAAGACUUGCAAGCACAAAGUUUUUUAACCAUGUGAUUGCCUAAGCGCAGCUCUCCUUAGGACAAAAGAUAGAAUAGGAGAGUAACGAUACAGAUUGUAUAGAUUACAAUUAACAUAUAUGGUACCCAACAAGACAUACACAGACAAAAGCACAAAAUACAGAUGUAAUUAAAUCACAAAGUUCUUAAAAUAAAUGCCGGCUUAUAAUAAAUCAAAUCACACACACAGAAACACUCAAGCACAUAAACCGCUCCUAUUUAAACUCUUGACCGAGUCUUAAUAAAACAAAGGAACCGCCAGGUUUUUUACCAAACGAGGCCAAAACAUCACUCACUAGCUUCUUUACCAAAGCUUAGCUAAAAUAAUUUUAUU